Molecule: ribosomal RNA, 253 nt
Filed under: uncultured bacterium
Lineage: Bacteria
Description: partial 16S ribosomal RNA
Rfam family: Bacterial small subunit ribosomal RNA
Source: RNAcentral
UACGGGGGGGGUAAGCGUUGUUCGGAUUUACUGGGCUUAAAGAGUUCGUAGGCGGCGCAGAAAGUAGGGUGUGAAAGCCCUCGGCUCAACCGAGGAAUUGCGCUCUAAACUACUGUGCUUGAGGGACCUAGAGGUGAGCGGAACUGAUGGUGGAGCGGUGAAAUGCGUUGAUAUCAUCAGGAACACCGGAGGCGAAGGCGGCUCACUGGGGGUCUUCUGACGCUGAGGAACGAAAGCCAGGGGAGCGAACGGG